Molecule: long non-coding RNA, 1342 nt
Organism: Topomyia yanbarensis
Lineage: Eukaryota; Metazoa; Arthropoda; Insecta; Diptera; Culicidae
Exons: 3
Source: RefSeq, a predicted model, not a curated record
GAACUGCUGCGGUGUUACCUGGUCUGGCCGUACGGGACGGUCCACGUCUGCUGCACUGUUUACCUUACCUCGGGGAGUGGUCCCAUCGAAGUGGUGAAAGUGUCCUCCGUUGGACAGAUGACAGAUUGUUGAGCUGAAAUAUUGAGCAGAUUCUCUUGUUCCGGCGAAACAGAAUGGUUCAUUGUUUCCGUUUACGUGCAGCGACGACGACGACGACGACGAUGAUGACGGGGAAAUUCUAUUCGGAACCCGGUGAUAGUGGAUCGAAAGGUCGACUCUUAUUAGAUUGAUUACCUCCCGGUUGGAUUGUGUCCGUUGUCUGGAGGAGAACUGUGCGAUCUAGUGGGCCUUGAGAGUGAAAGUGCACUAUUUGGAUGACAUUGAACCCUAUCGGAUUGUCGGAAACAGUUGGUCAUUAGAGUAGGUGAUUUGAAUAGACUGAUUGCCGAUUUUCGGCUCGGGUGGAAAAGGAUCGACAAAUCAACAGAGCAGCAACAAAUCACUUCAACUGAAGAGGAUAAGAAACUCAAAGGUAUUUUCUCUAUUCAAAACAAGUGAUUAUUUAUUUCGUUACGUUCCAAGAUUGUUUUAAUGAGUCUAAAUUGAGUUUUAAUUAACGUAUUUAAUAAUAAAUGAGCUGCAUCGAAAGUGUUUGCUCGAGUGUCUUAACCUAUCUAACAAUCCAUCUAGUUUCAGGCCAACUCAACCCGCCGUGGAUUCUAAGCAUUAAUCAUCAUCAACUAACUCGUUUUCAGCCCAGUGUUCAAAUCAAGACGUACCAACUCUAUCUUGUUGCCAGCGAAAAGCCGCAAACAAGGGGAGAUGGUUACGCAAAAAAGUUGUUCUCAUUAUAUAAUUUCGAUGUUUAUGAACAUUUUUUCUGUAACGAAAGCAUGAUAGUCACACCUCUUUCUUCUAACAGCGACGAGUACGAACAGCGAUGCACAUACUGUCCCACUGACAGCAGCCCGACUGCCCGUCCGCCGGAUUGCUUCUGCAAACGACCACCAGAUGACAGGUCGGACCGGCUGUAAAGCUUUCUGGCGGGAAUAUUGCAGGCAAACGUUGCUAAUAAAAUGAUGUCAUUCUUAUUGGUGUUGUUUCAAGAACUUUCGAUUCUCUAGUAGAAGUUACAGUGAUUUAGAGAAAAACUAAUAAUAGCAAUUCACAAAUAAAAUUAAAUAGAAUCGACGUUGAACUACUACUUGCUUGAUUGGCAAAUUAAAGAAUAUCAAUAGAAACAGCUGCUAAAUAUCCAAUCGCUUAUUAUAAACAGUCUAACGUUGAAUGUUUGCUUCCAUAGCUUCAAAAUACCAUUGAUUCGCUGAUAUAAACUAGGCAU